Long non-coding RNA from Dermacentor andersoni, 1035 nucleotides. RefSeq lists it as uncharacterized. The record is from RefSeq and is a predicted model, not a curated record. NCBI's taxonomy places the organism in Eukaryota, Metazoa, Arthropoda, Arachnida, Ixodida, Ixodidae.
UUGUCCAAAUCUAGAAUAAGCGUGACGGGUGUCAGGAAAGAGAGAAUUUCACAGAAAUUCAGACGCCUCAAAUGCUGCCUGUUCUCAGUAGUGUCAAGACGUUGUAGGCAGAGGAACGUAGUGACGCGUCGGGCAUGCUUGAAAGUCUGCUUUAAUGGCCGCUCCCGUCCUGUGGGAAAGAAAGGCGAGUGCCUAGCGAACAAAUGGACAGCAUGCACGCAGGUCCGUGAAUGCGCCGCUCUCCCAGAAUUUGGAGGCCGCGUGUCGAAGGUCGCAGGUGCUUCAGGCAACUCAGUUUUGUUCUUGUCUUGCAAGUGGACAGUGUGCAGACUCACAAAUGGUCGACCUGCUCGAUCGUGCCUGAAAGGGUGUCUCUGCGCACACCGAGCUAUACAUGUGGACCUUCUCUGGGCCGAGCAGCAGGAAAGACUACCGGCGCAAAAAGCAGCAAAGCCUCUCCCUCCAAUUAAUCAACGACAUCGCUCAACUAGAGCAUCCAACCAUCCGAGCUGUGUCAGAAAGCUCAACUUCUAGAUGCAUUGUCUGGCGGCAAGGACGCUGUUGUGCCACACUGCAUGCCUGCAUGAAGGCAACGGGCGCUUCCCCCUCCCCACCUCGUUCUUCUGAAGUGGUUGCCCUUGGUGACAACCGGCAAAGUUCCAGGAAACUGCUGAACCCUUUCCGUGGGUCGAACCGGGUUGUCCGGUGGCACAAAGCACCACGACGAAUCCACUGGCAGCCUUCAGAAUUUCACCGAACUGCUGUUCCUUGCCGUGGAGAUCGGUUUUAUGCACCUUGGGCUUCGCCUUCGACGAAAGAGGAAAGCGACGCGUUGACAUCAGCACCGGUCCUGCCUCUUCCUGCCGACGACGGGGACUUUAAGCAGGAAUUUAAGGCAGAGCCGGCCCAUUGUUAGAGAGAGAGUCGCCACUAACUGCUCCAUCGGUCUGGUGCGCUCUUCGGCUCUGCUACUUGUAUGCUAUUGCCUGCUAUUACCUGCUAUAUGUAAAUAUAGUAUAAAGCUUUUCAUCUCCU